GUUUUGAACAAGUGACAUAACAUUGCUGAGCCUCAAUCAACUCAUCUGUGAAAUGGAGCUAAUGACAGCAAACGGGAUAAGGCACCUGGAUGUGAUCUCUGAACUUCAAUGGCCUUAAAAUGCUCAAUAAGAGGCUCAGGCUCUCCUUGCUGGUGCUAGGGUAGGACAUUCUCACUCCACUUCAGGUCUGGGGAGUGCCAACCAGAGUAAACCAUCCUGGGCCAAUCACGUUCUAAAACAGAGCAACACAUUCUGAAAGGACAGAGAAUGUAUGCUGAGUGGCAGCACGCUCUGACGUGUGUGUCCUCCUCUGAGCCUGAGGUCCCUCAUCAGCAAAACAGGCAAAAUAACCUUUGUGUAGUAUGGUCAGGAAUAACAGAAAGCCUAUGCAAGGGUCCCAGCACAUAGUAGGUACUUUGUAAGCAUUCAUAAGCCUUAGUUUCUCUCCUUUCCUCUUAAGAAUGAAUGAAUUAUUUCUGGGCCAGUGACACUUAUCUUCAUGUCUCACUCAAUAUAAUAAAUUUCCAGUGCAGUUACGCUGACUAUCCUGCCUCUAGAUUAAUGGAGAAUGAUCAGCUCGGAAGGCACAGAAGAGUGCAUUCUGCCUGCAAACAGUUGGCCUGACCUGAUUAUAUGCAGGAGCUAUAAAGUACCGUAGAGUACUGACAUUAUUGUCCAGUUCCUGCCCACAAAAUAUCCCAUAAAAACGUAGCCAGGUUAAUCUAUAUCUCACUGAUGGAACUGAGGAUUUUCCAUUCAAAUGUUGCUAUGGGUCCCAUGCUGUUUUGCCCUGGGAGAGUCCUAUUGUAUUAAGAUGCAUUUGGCUGCAAGUAACAGCAAACCUAACUCAAGGUUUAACAGAUACAGAGUGGGCUUUGGAGAUGGUGCAUUCAGCAGCCAAAUGAUGACAUCAGAGAUCUAUGUUCUUUUCACCUUCCAUCUUUCCAUCCUUAGAGCUAGCUUCACCCUCAGGCUGGCAUCAAGAUGGUUGCUGCAGAUUGAAGGUUUCAACUAAACGCCAAAGCAUCCUGAGGAAUUAAAGAGAGACGAU
This 1051-nucleotide long non-coding RNA is filed under the name Equus caballus (horse). Its description in RNAcentral is "lncRNA (ENSECAG00000053798.1)". Lineage: Eukaryota; Metazoa; Chordata; Mammalia; Perissodactyla; Equidae. The record is from RNAcentral.